Molecule: small RNA, 29 nt
Filed under: Bombyx mori (domestic silkworm)
Lineage: Eukaryota; Metazoa; Arthropoda; Insecta; Lepidoptera; Bombycidae
Description: ovarian small RNA-22167
Source: RNAcentral
UAGAUUCAGUUCUUGCGGUUCCCCCGUGC